This 265-nucleotide long non-coding RNA is filed under the name Homo sapiens (human). RNAcentral describes it as "HSALNT0033325". Lineage: Eukaryota; Metazoa; Chordata; Mammalia; Primates; Hominidae. The record is from RNAcentral.
GGAAAAGGAAAUUCAUGAAGCUUUCACUGCAGCUAUGCCAGCAGAUAACAGACAAGAGAGUAUCCAGAAGACAUGCCAUUCUUGAGGUGGCAGGUGGUCAGCUGCGAAUCAAACCGAUACACACAAAUCCAUGUUUUUACCAGUCUUCAGAGAAGAGUCAGCUCUUACCAUUGAAGCCAAAUCUAUGGUGCUAUUUGAAUCCUGGAGACAGCUUUUCUUUGUUAGUUGACAAAUACAUUUUCCGCAUUCUCUCUAUACCCUCUGA